Molecule: ribosomal RNA, 404 nt
Filed under: Verrucomicrobiota bacterium
Lineage: Bacteria; Pseudomonadati; Verrucomicrobiota
Description: Verrucomicrobia bacterium partial 16S ribosomal RNA
Rfam family: Bacterial small subunit ribosomal RNA
Source: RNAcentral
UGGGGAAUAUUGGACAAUGGGCGCAAGCCUGAUCCAGCCAUGCCGCGUGAGUGAUGAAGGCCCUAGGGUUGUAAAGCUCUUUCACCGGUGAAGAUAAUGACAGUAACCGGAGAAGAAGCCCCGGCUAACUUCGUGCCAGCAGCCGCGGUAAUACGAAGGGGGCUAGCGUUGUUCGGAUUUACUGGGCGUAAAGCGCACGUAGGCGGACUAUUAAGUCAGGGGUGAAAUCCCGGGGCUCAACCCCGGAACUGCCUUUGAUACUGGUAGUCUUGAGUUCGAGAGAGGUGAGUGGAAUUCCGAGUGUAGAGGUGAAAUUCGUAGAUAUUCGGAGGAACACCAGUGGCGAAGGCGGCUCACUGGCUCGAUACUGACGCUGAGGUGCGAAAGCGUGGGGAGCAAACAGG